This 464-nucleotide ribosomal RNA is filed under the name uncultured Klebsiella sp. RNAcentral's name for it is "bacterial SSU rRNA". It matches the Rfam family "Bacterial small subunit ribosomal RNA", at positions 338 to 795 of the family's 1533-position model. The record is from RNAcentral. Lineage: Bacteria; Pseudomonadati; Pseudomonadota; Gammaproteobacteria; Enterobacterales; Enterobacteriaceae.
CCUACGGGAGGCUGCAGUGGGGAAUAUUGCACAAUGGGCGCAAGCCUGAUGCAGCCAUGCCGCGUGUGUGAAGAAGGCCUUCGGGUUGUAAAGCACUUUCAGCGGGGAGGAAGGCGGUGAGGUUAAUAACCUCAUCGAUUGACGUUACCCGCAGAAGAAGCAACGGCUAACUCCGUGCCAGCAGCCGCGGUAAUACGGAGGGUGAAGCGUUAAUCGGAAUUACUGGGCGUAAAGCGCACGCAGGCGGUCUGUCAAGUCGGAUGUGAAAUCCCCGGGCUCAACCUGGGAACUGCAUUCGAAACUGGCAGGCUAGAGUCUUGUAGAGGGGGGUAGAAUUCCAGGUGUAGCGGUGAAAUGCGUAGAGAUCUGGAGGAAUACCGGUGGCGAAGGCGGCCCCCUGGACAAAGACUGACGCUCAGGUGCGAAAGCGUGGGGAGCAAACAGGAUUAGAUACCCUGGUAGUC